This 285-nucleotide ribosomal RNA is filed under the name Mycobacterium tuberculosis. Its description in RNAcentral is "partial 16S ribosomal RNA". It matches the Rfam family "Bacterial small subunit ribosomal RNA", at positions 404 to 681 of the family's 1533-position model. Lineage: Bacteria; Bacillati; Actinomycetota; Actinomycetes; Mycobacteriales; Mycobacteriaceae. The record is from RNAcentral.
GGUGAAGAAGGCCUUCGGGUUGUAAAGCCCUUUUGUUGGGAAAGAAAUCCAGCCGGCUAAUACCUGGUUGGGAUGACGGUACCCAAAGAAUAAGCACCGGCUAACUUCGUGCCAGCAGCCGCGGUAAUACGAAGGGUGCAAGCGUUACUCGGAAUUACUGGGCGUAAAGCGUGCGUAGGUGGUCGUUUAAGUCCGUUGUGAAAGCCCUGGGCUCAACCUGGGAACUGCAGUGGAUACUGGGCGACUAGAGUGUGGUAGAGGGUAGCGGAAUUCCUGGUGUAGCAG